CAAUAGCGUAUAUUAAAGUUGUUGCAGUUAAAAAGCUCGUAGUUGGAUUUGUGGCGUACGGUGUGUUCCGGGCACUUGUUGUCUGAGUAACCUGCUGUUGCCGUCCUUGGGUGGAACCUGUGUGGCAUUAGGUUGUCGUGCAGGGGAUGCCCAUCAUUUACUGUGAAAAAAUUAGAGUGUUCAAAGCAGGCUUAUGCCGUUGAAUAUAUUAGCAUGGAAUAAUGAGAUAGGACUUUUUUGCUAUUUUGUUGGUUUGCGCAAGAAGGUAAUGAUUAAUAGGGACAGUUGGGGGUAUUCGUAUUCCAUUGUCAGAGGUGAAAUUCUUGGAUUUUUGGAAGACGAACUACUGCGAAAGCAUUUACCAAGGAUGUUUUCAUUAA
This 380-nucleotide ribosomal RNA is filed under the name uncultured eukaryote. RNAcentral's name for it is "partial 18S ribosomal RNA". It matches the Rfam family "Eukaryotic small subunit ribosomal RNA", at positions 592 to 976 of the family's 1831-position model. The record is from RNAcentral.